GCAGACCGGUCCCUGUUCUUGAUGACCCGGCCUUCCUAUAUUGCCAUGUCGUGGAAGUGCUUCGGCGGUGGGCGUGUCCCUCCCGCUACUCCCCGAGACCGCGUCCAGGUUUCAUUCAUCAACGUAGCUCCAUCUGCUCCCAUUCCCUCACUUGUGUGGAUUCUGAAGGAAUGCGGAGCCCCCGAUCGUGCCGCCCGCGGUGAGCGGCGGAUGAUGGUGCCGCCGUGCUGCUGCGCUAUGCAGUCCGCCAGGAGGAGGGAGCCAGUGCCGCUGUGGGAGAGAAGGAAGCGUCGGUGACAGCGGCAAGGCCUCGCCGCCGCAGAUCAUGGAUAGGGUUAUGGAGAAAAUCUGAUAUUUACUGAGAUCUUGGAAUAGAGGACCUGUGCUCAUAAUUAAUGAUAUGUUGUUAUGAAGCUUGAUGAGGACUGCGGCAGUCCGAUGGAGCAAAAUACAUUGUGGUCUUUCACAUUUCACUUGGCAAAUCGUCCUAAUGUGGCCUGAAUUUUACUGAGAUCUCGAAGCGGAGCAGCACUUUAAUGAUGUUAUGAAGCUUGAUGUGUUGUCUAUUAGCGAAACAUUCCAACUCUAGUCACCGUAAUCUGACAUGAAGCUUUAUGGAACAGCGGAGCAGAGGAUGUCGCAGUGAUAGAGUAUGAGAUGCUAACGGGUCGACCAUUUAGCAUGCUCAGCCGAGACAUACAGAAUCCAUGAUGCGGUGGAGAAACAUUACAGCAUCCACAUUGAGCACAUGUUCCCGGAUGCCGCAGAGGUGCAGGCCAUCCUCGUUCAACAAAGAUGGGCACCAGGAGUCGUGCAGAGCCAGGAAGGAUGCUGAAAGGUACCUGUUCAUGCUUGGAUCACCAAACAGAGGAAGAAGGAUCAAUCUCUUGUUCCCAGCGAUUGUUAUUCAGGUUGAUUAUGUUUUUGGAGACGUCACAGGCGAUGGAAGCCUCGUAUAUGGGGAAUCGGUUGGCCAACGAGUUGGGGAAGCUCUGCGCUCAUGUUGCGGUAGCCAUUUGCGUAGAAAGAACUCGUCUUCUUCCACAAGAACACAUCUCAACACCUCUGAAAGGUGGGAUGUCUAUUCGCCUACUGCCAUUUGUCGAUGCUCUUCGAUGAUGUUAGACCAUGAUCAUCUGGAUGUCGGAUGAUACAUCGUAUCAUCAAACCCUGUGGCUUGGUUAGCUUCUGCUACUGAGUUCCCCCUUUCUACUUCACUUCUCUCGGUUUCCUUCGAAUGGCUUUUGGAGGUCAUACAUGGAGAAGCAUAUAUUCUACUGUAUAGUGAAUCAAACCGAUGUCUGUUAUCGAAAUUGUGGCGAUCGCCCACCACCAUAUUUUUAAGAGUGAUCUUAAUUUUGGCUUCCUGAA
Molecule: long non-coding RNA, 1371 nt
Organism: Musa acuminata AAA Group (dessert banana)
Lineage: Eukaryota; Viridiplantae; Streptophyta; Magnoliopsida; Zingiberales; Musaceae
Exons: 5
Source: RefSeq, a predicted model, not a curated record